AACCGCCGUAUACCGAACGGUACGUACGGUGGUGUGAGAGGACGGCCUCUCAAAUAAUGGGAGGCCUCCUACUCGAU
Molecule: non-coding RNA, 77 nt
Filed under: Cloacibacillus evryensis DSM 19522
Lineage: Bacteria; Thermotogati; Synergistota; Synergistia; Synergistales; Synergistaceae
Source: RNAcentral